UUUGUUUGUUUGUUUCUGAGUAGUGGAAAAAUGAAACUGCAGUUUAGACAUCAUGUGUGUCUCGGAUUUGUUCAGGUGUCCAUAAUAUUUCAGCUUCUUCCAGCUUUAGAUGAGUGCUAGCCUCUGAGGUGCCCCACCCGGGAUCGGCCAGAAAGCACCUAAGGAAACCCAGCUCUCACCUUGGAAGCUUGCCUUCAGCAAUCUCAAGUUGGGGUUACACUUCUCGGUGGUCCAAUAGCCCGGAGACCCUGGGUAUUCGCCAGUCGCUGACUCUGAAACGCGCCUGUCUGCGAGAUCCCAAAUAGGAGAUGGAAGGAAGGCUAAGUGAGUU
Non-coding RNA from Macaca mulatta (Rhesus monkey), 331 nucleotides. The record is from RefSeq and is a predicted model, not a curated record. Lineage: Eukaryota; Metazoa; Chordata; Mammalia; Primates; Cercopithecidae.